UUACUCCUGCUGUGUACGAUCGGGAGAGCAAUUUUUUACCUUAAUUAUGGAACCGGGAGUUCGAUAUUUGAGUAGCUGACGGCAAGCCGUCUUUGAAUGGACGUCGGUAAGCUACCGUGAGAGCACCCCCCUAUUUGGGUUAAGGUUCAAGAAUUGCUUAUCUAACGGCACAACGCGGGGCUGCC
RNAcentral lists this non-coding RNA (185 nucleotides) under Candidatus Hydrogenedentota bacterium. RNAcentral's name for it is "Candidatus Hydrogenedentes bacterium 6S RNA". It matches the Rfam family "6S / SsrS RNA". Rfam says of the family: E. coli 6S RNA was the first non coding RNA to be sequenced, but its function was unknown until recently. The record is from RNAcentral. Lineage: Bacteria; Pseudomonadati; Candidatus Hydrogenedentota.